CAGAAGUACCCGACAUCUCACUCGAUUCAAUUAAAUUGAUUUCAUUUAAUCAUGGUUGAAUUAGGGCACAAAUUGCUCAAUAGAAAUCAGGGGUGAACAAAUAUAACAGGCUUGAUAAGGGUGGGGCCAACAUGCCAUCCAAUAACUGUGGAUUAGAACCUCCUUCACCAGGAUCAAUGAAAAUCAUUGAGAGGAGCCCUUUGUUGGAUUUGACCACC
This 218-nucleotide long non-coding RNA is filed under the name Elaeis guineensis (African oil palm). RNAcentral describes it as "long non-coding RNA (EGUI_LNC064716)". Lineage: Eukaryota; Viridiplantae; Streptophyta; Magnoliopsida; Arecales; Arecaceae. The record is from RNAcentral.